AAUAGAUACCCUGGUAGUCCACGCCGUAAACGUUGGGCGCUAGAUGUGGGGACCUUUCCACGGUUUCCGUGUCGUAGCUAACGCAUUAAGCGCCCCGCCUGGGGAGUACGGCCGCAAGGCUAAAACUCAAAGGAAUUGACGGGGGCCCGCACAAGCGGCGGAGCAUGCGGAUUAAUUCGAUGCAACGCGAAGAACCUUACCAAGGCUUGACAUAACCGAGAACACCGUAGAAAUACGGGACUCUUUGGACACUCGGUUACAGGUGGUGCAUGGUUGUCGUCAGCUCGUGUCGUGAGAUGUUGGGUUAAGUCCCGCAACGAGCGCAACCCUCGUCGCAUGUUGCCAGCACGUCAUGGUGGGAACUCAUGUGAGACUGCCGGGGUCAACUCGGAGGAAGGUGGGGAUGACGUCAAAUCAUCAUGCCCCUUAUGUCUUGGGCUUCACGCAUGCUACAAUGGCCGGUACAAAGGGCUGCGAUGUCGUAAGGCGGAGCGAAUCCCAAAAAGCCGGUCUCAGUUCGGAUUGAGGU
Molecule: ribosomal RNA, 529 nt
Filed under: uncultured bacterium
Lineage: Bacteria
Description: bacterial SSU rRNA
Rfam family: Bacterial small subunit ribosomal RNA
Source: RNAcentral